UGACCGCUGGCGGCGUGCCUAAUACAUGCAAGUCGAGCGAACAGACGAGGAGCUUGCUCCUCUGACGUUAGCGGCGGACGGGUGAGUAACACGUGGAUAACCUACCUAUAAGACUGGGAUAACUUCGGGAAACCGGAGCUAAUACCGGAUAAUAUAUUGAACCGCAUGGUUCAAUAGUGAAAGACGGUUUUGCUGUCACUUAUAGAUGGAUCCGCGCCGCAUUAGCUAGUUGGUAAGGUAACGGCUUACCAAGGCGACGAUGCGUAGCCGACCUGAGAGGGUGAUCGGCCACACUGGAACUGAGACACGGUCCAGACUCCUACGGGAGGCAGCAGUAGGGAAUCUUCCGCAAUGGGCGAAAGCCUGACGGAGCAACGCCGCGUGAGUGAUGAAGGUCUUCGGAUCGUAAAACUCUGCUAUUAGGGAAGAACAAAUGUGUAAGUAACUAUGCACGUCUUGACGGUACCUAAUCAGAAAGCCACGGCUAACUACGUG
RNAcentral lists this ribosomal RNA (495 nucleotides) under uncultured bacterium. RNAcentral's name for it is "partial 16S ribosomal RNA". It matches the Rfam family "Bacterial small subunit ribosomal RNA", at positions 30 to 507 of the family's 1533-position model. The record is from RNAcentral.